CUGCGACCAUGGAUAUUUUCUGAGGU
This 26-nucleotide non-coding RNA is filed under the name Rattus norvegicus (Norway rat). Lineage: Eukaryota; Metazoa; Chordata; Mammalia; Rodentia; Muridae. The record is from RNAcentral.